This 199-nucleotide long non-coding RNA is filed under the name Homo sapiens (human). Its description in RNAcentral is "HSALNT0295215". Lineage: Eukaryota; Metazoa; Chordata; Mammalia; Primates; Hominidae. The record is from RNAcentral.
GCGCAGGCGCCCAGAGGCGCACAGGAGACCUCAGGCCCAGACUCCACUCCCCAGCUGUGAAAGGACUGCUGGCCAGACCCCCAAGCUAGCCCGCCAGGCCUCCAUAGAGCUGCCCAGCAUGGCUGCAUCCAGUACCAAGAGUUGGUGGGAGACGGGUGAGGUAUAGGCUCAGUCUGCGGCCAAGACUCCGUCCUGCAAG